CCUACGGGGGCUGCAGUGGGGAAUCAUGGUCAAUGGGCGAAAGCCUGAACCUGCGACGCCGCGUGAGUGAUGAAGGUCGUAAGAUCGUAAAACUCUUUUCAGGGAUCUUAAAGCCUGUCUGUCAACAACAGGCAGGUCUGACUCUCCCUGGAAGAAGCCCCAGCCAACUACGUGCCAGCAGCUGCGGUAAUACGUAGGGGGCGAGCGUUAUUCGGAAUUACUGGGUGUAAAGGGUAUGUAGGCGGCCCUUCAAGUCGCGUGUCAAAGUCCAGUGCUAAACGCUGGGUGGGCACGCGAUACUGACGGGCUGGAGGGCUGGAGAGGUGAGCGGAAUUCCCGGUGUAGGGGUAAAAUACGUAGAGAUCGGGAGGAACACCAGCGGCGCAGGCGGCUCACUAGACAGUUUCUGACGCUAAGAUACGAAAGCGUGGGGAGCAAACA
RNAcentral lists this ribosomal RNA (441 nucleotides) under uncultured prokaryote. Its description in RNAcentral is "bacterial SSU rRNA". It matches the Rfam family "Bacterial small subunit ribosomal RNA", at positions 338 to 774 of the family's 1533-position model. The record is from RNAcentral.